RNAcentral lists this non-coding RNA (27 nucleotides) under Homo sapiens (human). The record is from RNAcentral. Lineage: Eukaryota; Metazoa; Chordata; Mammalia; Primates; Hominidae.
UGAUAGGUAACAGACGUCUGAAGGGCU